AUGAUUUCUUCGUGUAUGAGCUUCACUUUACCUCUCAACCAGCUGGUUGUCUCAGUUAAGGCGGCCACAUGUGGUGCGAAGGUGGUUGGUCCUCUGUCCAAGACGUGGGUGCUAGUAGAUGAUGUGCCAGUGGGUUUGCGAACGGCUGAGUUCAUGAUGGCGUUUGGGACUCUCAUUGGCAAGCCUGUGGAAGUUGAUUCUGAAUCUUUGGGUAAGGUUGGCCCGGUGCACCUCAGUAUUUGGUGCGUUGAUCCUGUCUGUGUGCAUGGUGCUGUGGAUGUGUUCCCGUCUUCUGAGGGUGUUCGACUGCGGGUUCGGGUCAAAGGUGUUGAUGCUUUCCAGGCUCCAUCUCCGCCUCCUCCUUCCAACUCGGCUGAUCCUGAUGAUAAGCAGGGAGAUGGUUUGGCUGGUGGGCAGAACCCAAGUGGAGGUACCGACCCUUGUUUCACCCAGUCUGAAUGGGAUGGACUGGAGCCUGAAGAGCAGGAAUUGUUUAAGGCCAAUGCCCCGGUUGAUGAAGCUCAGAAGGAUGCAGGUGCCAAUCAGGCGAUGGACAAGGCCCCCCUUGGGAAUCCUGCUAGCAAAGGCACACCGAUCUCUGGUGUUUGCUCCAACCUUCCUGCUCGACCGCAAUCACCUUCAUUUUCUGGGAUUGAAGAUCUACCUGUGUCUCCUCCUCGCUCCACUGGACCUGCAUCUAAGAAGAAGAAGAAAACCUCCGUCAGAAAGUUCUCAGCUAAGAGCAGGGCCUCUUCUGGUUCCAAGCAAUCCAUGACGGGCCUGGUUCCUUGUCUGGACAAGGAUCUGGGGGCUGCUUCGGGUUCCGGCCAGGGUCCGGCCUCGCCAGUUCUGCGCUCUCCGAUGCUGCGGUCGCCCGCGUCCACGGCGCACAAGGGGCGUCGCGUGCGUGAAUCUGGCGAGUCGGUGGCGGCGCGGGCUGAAAGGCGGGCUGCGGCCAGGGAUCUUCCUGCUUCAGCAGUGGAAAUCAUUGACUAA
This 996-nucleotide ribosomal RNA is filed under the name Triticum aestivum (bread wheat). Its description in RNAcentral is "partial small subunit ribosomal RNA". The record is from RNAcentral. Lineage: Eukaryota; Viridiplantae; Streptophyta; Magnoliopsida; Poales; Poaceae.